UGCAAGUCGGACGUGAUCCAGGAGCUUGCUCCUGGUGAAAGUGGCGCACGGGUGCGUAACGCGUAUGCAACCUACCUUAAUCAGGGGGAUAGCCUCUCGAAAGAGAGAUUAACACCGCAUGAAAUGCUUUUCCGGCAUCGGAAGAACAUGAAAUAUUUAUAGGAUUAAGAUGGGCAUGCGUGACAUUAGUUAGUUGGCGGGGUAACGGCCCACCAAGACGACGAUGUCUCGGGGAUCUGAGAGGAUGACCCCCCACACCGGUACUGAGACACGGACCAGACUCCUACGGGAGGCAGCAGUAAGGAAUAUUGGUCAAUGGGCGCAAGCCUGAACCAGCCAUGCCGCGUGCAGGAAGACGGUGCUCUGCAUUGUAAACUGCUUUUAUACCAGAAUAACCCCCCGGUCGUGUAUCGGGGCUGAAUGUAUGGUAAGAAUAAGGAUCGGCUAACUCCGUGCCAGCAGCCGCGGUAAUACGGAGGAUCCAAGCGUUAUCCGGAUUUAUUGGGUUUAAAGGGUGCGUAGGCGGCUUUUUAAGCCAGGGGUGAAAGACGGUGGCUCAACCAUCGCGGUGCCCUUGGUACUGAAGAGCUUGAUUGAACUUGAGGUAGGCGGAAUGUGACAAGUAGCGGUGAAAUGCAUAGAUAUGUCACAGAACACCGAUUGCGAAGGCAGCUUACUAAGGUUUUAAUGACGCUGAGGCACGAAAGCGUGGGGAUCAAACAGGAUUAGAUACCCUGGUAGUCCACGCCCUAAACGAUGAAUACUCGAUGUUAGCGAUAUACAGUUAGCGUCAAAGCGAAAGCGUUAAGUAUUCCACCUGGGGAGUACGCCCGCAAGGGUGAAACUCAAAGGAAUUGACGGGGGCCCGCACAAGCGGAGGAGCAUGUGGUUUAAUUCGAUGAUACGCGAGGAACCUUACUCGGGCUUGAAAGU
This 933-nucleotide ribosomal RNA is filed under the name uncultured Sphingobacteriaceae bacterium. Its description in RNAcentral is "bacterial SSU rRNA". It matches the Rfam family "Bacterial small subunit ribosomal RNA", at positions 56 to 988 of the family's 1533-position model. Lineage: Bacteria; Pseudomonadati; Bacteroidota; Sphingobacteriia; Sphingobacteriales; Sphingobacteriaceae. The record is from RNAcentral.